GAUGAACGCUGACAGAAUGCUUAACACAUGCAAGUCAUUGGCGAAGCUGCGCUUGCGCAGUCUAGCCAAGGCGGACGGGUGAGUAACGCGUAAGGAACUUGCCCUGCAGACAGGGAUAACAGACGGAAACGACUGAUAACACCUGGUAUUGUCAGGCUGGCGCAUGCCGGCCUGAUGAAAGGAGACGCUGCAGGAGAGCCUUGCGUCCUAUUAGCUAGUUGGUGGGGUAACGGCCCACCAAGGCGAUGAUAGGUAGCCGGCCUGAGAGGGUGAACGGCCACAAGGGGACUGAGAUACGGCCCUUACUCCUACGGGAGGCAGCAGUGGGGAAUAUUGGACAAUGGGGGCAAUCCUGAUCCAGCAAUUCUGUGUGCACGAAGAAGGUUUUCGGAUUGUAAAGUGCUUUCAGCAGGGAAGAAGAAAGUGACGGUACCUGCAGAAGAAGCGACGGCUAAAUACGUG
This 462-nucleotide ribosomal RNA is filed under the name uncultured bacterium. Its description in RNAcentral is "partial 16S ribosomal RNA". It matches the Rfam family "Bacterial small subunit ribosomal RNA", at positions 28 to 507 of the family's 1533-position model. The record is from RNAcentral.